This 4222-nucleotide ribosomal RNA is filed under the name Cryptochetum sp. BMW-2012. RNAcentral's name for it is "eukaryotic LSU rRNA". It matches the Rfam family "Eukaryotic large subunit ribosomal RNA". Lineage: Eukaryota; Metazoa; Arthropoda; Insecta; Diptera; Cryptochetidae. The record is from RNAcentral.
CAUAGAGGGUGCCAGGCCCGUAUAACGUUAAUGAUUAUUAGAAGUUGGUUUCCAAAGAGUCGUGUUGCUUGAUAGUGCAGCACUAAGUUGGUGGUAAACUCCAUCUAAAACUAAAUAUAACCAUGAGACCGAUAGCAAACAAGUACCGUGAGGGAAAGUUGAAAAGAACUCUGAAUAGAGAGUUAAAUAGUACGUGAAACUGCUUAGAGGUUAAGCCCGAUGAACCUGAAUAUUCAUUAUGGAAAAUUCAAUAUUAAAAUUGUGAAUGUAAAUUUAAGAGUAUGUUUUUUAAUAUUAAUUUAUUAAAAUUGCAUAAUUUUUUUAUUUAACAUUCAUAAUGAAAGUAUGCAUUUUUUCCAUAAAAUGAACAUUGUAAUCUAUUAACAUAUAGACAAAAAAAUUUAUCAAAAAAUCAUUAACCAUUUUAGUUCAUAAACAUUAUAUGAAUAAUAUAACUGUAUAUGAGGGUUUUUGAUUUGAUAAAGUGUUGAUAGAUUAAUUAAUAUUAUGUAAUGCUUUUAAUUCAAAAUUUAUUUUGAAUUAUACAAUUUUUAAUUGAGAUUUUUUUCUCAUUUAUAACAUUGUAUGCAUUCACAUGAUUUACAAUGCGAAAGAUUCAGGAUACCUUCGGGACCCGUCUUGAAACACGGACCAAGGAGUCUAACAUAUAUGCAAGUCAUUGGGAUUUUUUAAAACAAAACCUAAUGGCAUAAAUAACUUAGCUGGUGUAUAUGUAUAUAUUAUUUAUAAUAUAUGUGUAUACAUAAAUGGGAUUAGUUUGUGUUGUUUUUUAUUAAUUUAAUAAAUGAUGUACAAACACAAUCCCGGGGCGUUCUAUAUAGUUAUGUUAAUUUGAAUGGAAUUUUUAAUUUUAUUCAUUUUUAACCUCUAACUGGAACGUACCUUGAGCAUAUAUGCUGUGACCCGAAAGAUGGUGAACUAUACUUGAUCAGGUUGAAGUCAGGGGAAACCCUGAUGGAAGACCGAAACAGUUCUGACGUGCAAAUCGAUUGUCAGAAUUGAGUAUAGGGGCGAAAGACCAAUCGAACCAUCUAGUAGCUGGUUCCCUCCGAAGUUUCCCUCAGGAUAGCUGGUGCAUUUCAUAAUUAUGCUAAAUAAUCUUAUCUGGUAAAGCGAAUGAUUAGAGGCAUUAGGAUCUAAGAGAUCUUAACCUAUUCUCAAACUUUAAAUGGGUAAGAACCUUAACUUUCUUGAUAUGAAGUUUAAGGUUAUGAUAUAAUGUGCCCAGUGGGCCACUUUUGGUAAGCAGAACUGGCGCUGUGGGAUGAACCAAACGCAAUGUUACGGUGCCCAAAUUAACAACUCAUGCAGAUACCAUGAAAGGCGUUGGUUGCUUAAAACAGCAGGACGGUGGACAUGGAAGUCGUAAUCCGCUAAGGAGUGUGUAACAACUCACCUGCCGAAGCAACUAGCCCUUAAAAUGGAUGGCGCUUAAGUUGUAUACCUAUACAUUACCGCUAAAGUAAAUGAUUUAUAUUAUWAUAUAUUUAUAUUAUAAUAUAAAUUUUGAAACUUUAGUGAGUAGGAGGGUACGAUGAUGUGCUUAGAAGUGUUUGGCGUAAGCCUGCAUGGAGCCGUCAUUGGUACAGAUCUUGGUGGUAGUAGCAAAUAAUCGAAUGAGACCUUGGAGGACUGAAGUGGAGAAGGGUUUCGUGUGAACAGUGGUUGAUCACGAGUUAGUCGGUCCUAAGUUCAAGGCUAAAGCCGAAAAUUUUCAAGUAUAAGUAUAAAAAUAUUAUUAUUAUACACUUGAUUAUUUUUGAACGAAAGGGAAUACGGUUCCAAUUCCGUAACCUGUUGAGUAUACGUUUGUUAUUAAAUAUGGGCCUUGUGCUCAUCCUGGCAACAGGAACGACCAUAAAGAGUAGCCGUCGAGAGAUAUCGGAAGAGUUUUCUUUUCUGUUUUAUAACCGCAUUACCAUGGAAGUCUUUAGAAGAGAGAUAUGGUAAAUUGGUUAGAAGAGCAUGACAUUUACUGUUGUGUCGAUAUUUUCUCCUCGGACCUUGAAAAUUUAUGGUGGGGUCACGCAAACUUCUCAACAGGCCGUACCAAUAUCCGCAGCUGGUCUCCAAGGUGAAGAGUCUCUAGUCGAUAGAAUAAUGUAGGUAAGGGAAGUCGGCAAAUUAGAUCCGUAACUUCGGAAAAAGGAUUGGCUCUGAAGAUUGAGAUAAUCGGGCUUGAUUCGGAAGCAAUAAUAUGGUUUAUGUGCUCGUUCUGGGUAAAUAGGUUAUUCUCUUUUUAAGAUGUUGUUCCUUUCAUUUAUAAUUGAAGGGGUGAAUGUGUGGGCUCUCUCACGGGGGUUCCGCGUUUCCUUUUAUAUUAUUUUUGAUUGGGCUCUCUUUUAAAGAGGAUUUUCGUUCCCCGGAUAGUUUAGUUACGUAACCAAUUGUGGAACUUUCUUGCUAAAAUUUUAUAAAGUUAAUCUAUAGGAUUUCGGAAUGUCCGUAUGUAUAUAUGCAGUUGGUAUUAUAAAUAUGUAGCAUUUAUGUUGCAUUUUUUAUGUAUACGGCUGCAUAAUUUACGGAUAUUUUUUCUUAUAGAACUUUAUAUAAAUUAUAACGAUUAUCAAUUAACAAUCAAUUCAGAACUGGCACGGACUUGGGGAAUCCGACUGUCUAAUUAAAACAAAGCAUUGUGAUGGACUUAACAGUUGUUGACACAAUGUGAUUUCUGCCCAGUGCUCUGAAUGUCACCGUGGAGAGAUUCAACAAAGCGCGGGUAAACGGCGGGAGUAACUAUGACUCUCUUAAGGUAGCCAAAUGCCUCGUCAUCUAAUUAGUGACGCGCAUGAAUGGAUUAACGAGAUUCCUACUGUCCCUAUCUACUAUCUAGCGAAACCACAGCCAAGGGAACGGGCUUGGAAUAAUUAGCGGGGAAAGAAGACCCUUUUGAGCUUGACUCUAAUCUGGCAGUGUAAGGAGACAUAAGAGGUGUAGAAUAAGUGGGAGAUAAUUUAAUUAUUUUAUAAUUGUUUUAUCGACAAUGAAAUACCACUACUUUUAUUGUUUCCUUACUUACUUGAUCGAAUGGAACGUGCAUCAUAAUUUAGCCAUUAUACGGAUAUAUUCUUAUAUAUAUCUUAUGGUAUUGGAUUUUGAUGCAAGCUUCUUGAUCAAAAUAUCAAGAGUUUGUUAUAUAAUUGCAAACAAAUUUAUUCAAAUUCCAAAUUUAUGUACGCCGUUAGGGAUUAUAUAAUGUUGUUAUUGAUAAUAAUCGGAUGUGCUGCGUUGCGCGUGCAUGCGCUACUUGUAGUGUGUGUGCUGCGUGUGCGUUGUAUGUCUGUUAUUUGAUUUGCAAUUUUUAUGUAAUUUUCGAAGCGUCAACGUACAUACAAUUUGAUUUGAUAAAUUUGGUAUAACUACCAUGGCUCAGAUAUGAUCCAAUUCAAGGACAUUGCCAGGUAGGGAGUUUGACUGGGGCGGUACAUCUCUCAAAUAAUAACGGAGGUGUCCCAAGGCCAGCUCAGUGCGGACAGAAACCACACAUAGAGCAAAAGGGCAAAAGCUGACUUGAUCUCUGUGUUCAGUACAUGCAGGGACAGCAAAAGCUCGGCCUAUCGAUCCUCUUAGCUUAAAGAGUUUUUAACAAGAGGUGUCAGAAAAGUUACCAUAGGGAUAACUGGCUUGUGGCGGCCAAGCGUUCAUAGCGACGUCGCUUUUUGAUCCUUCGAUGUCGGCUCUUCCUAUCAUUGUGAAGCAAAAUUCACCAAGCGUUGGAUUGUUCACCCAUGCAAGGGAACGUGAGCUGGGUUUAGACCGUCGUGAGACAGGUUAGUUUUACCCUACUAAUGACAAACGUUGUUGCGACAGCAUUCCUGCGUAGUACGAGAGGAACCGCAGGUACGGACCAAUGGCACAAUACUUGUUCGAGAGAACAUUGGUAUGACGCUACGUCCGUUGGAUUAUGCCUGAACGCCUCUAAGGUCGUAUCCGUGCUGGACUGCAAUGAUAAAAAUGGGGCAAUUGCAUUGUAUGGCUAUUAAAACCAUUAAAAGUUUAUAAUAAUUUAUUAUUAUAAACGACUUGGAUUUUUGAUGCCAAUGUUAUUGGUUAACAUAGUAAGUUAGGAGGAUUACGAAUCACUUGACGCCAUGCUAGUUACCAAUUAAAACAUUAUUUAAUACAAUGACAAAGCCUAGAAUCGAUUGUAAACGACUUUUGUUGCAGGCAAGGUGUUGUAAGUGGUUGAGCAGCUGCCAUA